GCCAGUGUUGCUAAGUGGUUACAGCACUGGCCUGCAAACCAAAGGGUCACGGGUUUGAUUCCUGGUCAAGGGCA
Myotis brandtii (Brandt's bat) is the source of this 74-nucleotide non-coding RNA. Lineage: Eukaryota; Metazoa; Chordata; Mammalia; Chiroptera; Vespertilionidae. The record is from Rfam.